UUCAUACUCCCUCCGUCCGAAAAUACUUGUCAUCAAAAUGGACAAAGAGGGAUGUAUCUAGAACUAAAAUACAUCUAGAUACAUCGCUUUUUAUUCAUUUUGAUAACAAGUAUUUCCGGACGAAGUGAGUAUAAA
This is a non-coding RNA of Triticum aestivum (bread wheat), 135 nucleotides long. NCBI's taxonomy places the organism in Eukaryota, Viridiplantae, Streptophyta, Magnoliopsida, Poales, Poaceae. The record is from Rfam.